This 1342-nucleotide ribosomal RNA is filed under the name uncultured bacterium. RNAcentral's name for it is "bacterial SSU rRNA". It matches the Rfam family "Bacterial small subunit ribosomal RNA", at positions 28 to 1381 of the family's 1533-position model. The record is from RNAcentral.
GACGAACGCUGGCGGCGUGCUUAACACAUGCAAGUCGAACGAUGGUGCCCAGCUUGCUGGGUGGAUUAGUGGCGAACGGGUGAGUAACACGUGAGUAACCUGCCCCUGACUCUGGGAUAAGCGUUGGAAACGACGUCUAAUACUGGAUAUGAUCACUGGCCGCAUGGUCUGGUGGUGGAAAGAUUUUUUGGUUGGGGAUGGACUCGCGGCCUAUCAGCUUGUUGGUGAGGUAAUGGCUCACCAAGGCGACGACGGGUAGCCGGCCUGAGAGGGUGACCGGCCACACUGGGACUGAGACACGGCCCAGACUCCUACGGGAGGCAGCAGUGGGGAAUAUUGCACAAUGGGCGAAAGCCUGAUGCAGCAACGCCGCGUGAGGGGUGACGGCCUUCGGGUUGUAAACCUCUUUUAGUAGGGAAGAAGCGAAAGUGACGGUACCUGCAGAAAAAGCACCGGCUAACUACGUGCCAGCAGCCGCGGUAAUACGUAGGGUGCAAGCGUUGUCCGGAAUUAUUGGGCGUAAAGAGCUCGUAGGCGGUUUGUCGCGUCUGCUGUGAAAUCCCGAGGCUCAACCUCGGGCUUGCAGUGGGUACGGGCAGACUAGAGUGCGGUAGGGGAGAUUGGAAUUCCUGGUGUAGCGGUGGAAUGCGCAGAUAUCAGGAGGAACACCGAUGGCGAAGGCAGAUCUCUGGGCCGUAACUGACGCUGAGGAGCGAAAGCGUGGGGAGCGAACAGGAUUAGAUACCCUGGUAGUCCACGCCGUAAACGUUGGGCGCUAGAUGUAGGGACCUUUCCACGGUUUCUGUGUCGUAGCUAACGCAUUAAGCGCCCCGCCUGGGGAGUACGGCCGCAAGGCUAAAACUCAAAGGAAUUGACGGGGGCCCGCACAAGCGGCGGAGCAUGCGGAUUAAUUCGAUGCAACGCGAAGAACCUUACCAAGGCUUGACAUACACCGGAAACGGCCAGAGAUGGUCGCCCCCUUGUGGUCGGUGUACAGGUGGUGCAUGGUUGUCGUCAGCUCGUGUCGUGAGAUGUUGGGUUAAGUCCCGCAACGAGCGCAACCCUCGUUCUAUGUUGCCAGCGCGUUAUGGCGGGGACUCAUAGGAGACUGCCGGGGUCAACUCGGAGGAAGGUGGGGAUGACGUCAAAUCAUCAUGCCCCUUAUGUCUUGGGCUUCACGCAUGCUACAAUGGCCGGUACAAAGGGCUGCGAUACCGUAAGGUGGAGCGAAUCCCAAAAAGCCGGUCUCAGUUCGGAUUGAGGUCUGCAACUCGACCUCAUGAAGUCGGAGUCGCUAGUAAUCGCAGAUCAGCAACGCUGCGGUGAAUACGUUCCCGGGCCU